Molecule: long non-coding RNA, 1420 nt
Organism: Lagopus muta (rock ptarmigan)
Lineage: Eukaryota; Metazoa; Chordata; Aves; Galliformes; Phasianidae
Exons: 4
Source: RefSeq, a predicted model, not a curated record
AAAGAUGCAAACUGAAAGAAAGGAAUGGUGGAGUGCUAUUUGCAUGAUCCGUUUCUUCAGAGAAAGAGCUAAUGUUUGUGUUUGUUUGUUGGAAGUUACCUACAGGUGCAAUUCCUUUCUCAGUGCCCAGUCCCACAAAGUAUCGCUUCAGUCAAGAUAAAAUGUAACUGGCCUGAGCACAAGAUCGUGUCAUCAUGCCACAUCUGUCAUUUGGAGUGUGAGAGGAAUGUACCGUAUUAUGCUGUGGGACUCUGAGUGAACAAGCAGUAACAUCUGACAUGUAACUGUCAUCUCAUCCUCCACAGUUGAAGAGACUUAGCUACAUUAAGAAAAAAUGGUUUAACCGACGACUCAAUGAGCCCUUUAUAUAAAACAACAAUUGAGGGCUUGCUGUGUUGGAUGUGCUUGCUAUUUAAGAGUCUUGGUUCCACAGUUUCCAGCUUCUAACUCAGCCUUUACAAAUGAAUCUGCAGAUCUGAAGUUUUUUGAAUAAAAUAAGACAGUUAUAAGUUUUUAUUGUUCAAACAAAGAGUAAUUUAAUAUCUUGAAAGAAAUUUACAUUAGCUUGCUUUUAAACAAAACAAAAAUAAUAGCUGAUAGCAACUUUGAUUUGCAGAAAAGAAAAAACAUGAGUUGUUAUGACUGGAAUAAAGAAUACUUUAAACUCCUGCAAAAAGUACUCAGCAUGAAGUGGGAGGCUCAUGACCAAUUCAUCUAUAUUAUUAGGAAAAUGGUUCAUUAGCCUGCCAGUGGGAGUUGCAUCUAAGAAGCCUGUUGGACUCUGUGAUCUGUGGACAAAGGAAAGAGCGGAAUCACAAGUCUUUGCCUUUUAUUGUAGUUAGAAUUUAUGUAGUAAUGCAGACAAUAGCUUUAAUCUUGGCCAAGAUUAAAAUUACAGGAACAGCAAACAAUUUUAUUAUAGCUUUUACAACAUCAUCAGUAGUAAAGCAGGUUUUGAAAGUUAAGUAAUGAUCUUGAAAGUAAAAUAAAUGUCUUUAAGUCUUUGUUGUUUUCCUUCAGUAAAACAAAAUAAAUGCAUGAGGGUCAGAAUAUCAAGAAUUUGAUGACUUCAUAGCAAAAUUGUACUACCUCUACUCAACUGUGACUUGUACACAGAUAAUAGCAACUGAAGUUACAGCAGAUUAAAGCUGCUAUUACAGAUGUAGGUUGCACAGAGUGAUAGUUACUAUUUAUGGACAUCUUUUUGCUUCAGAAAGUUUAGAGUCCUUAUGAAGGUUAACUGAUUUAAAUCUUUUUAGAGAUAAUACUGCCUAUCUGAUCAUUCAUUGUUUUAGAAAAAGUCUUAGAUUCAUAUAAUCUUCAAGUAUCUGUAAUGUACAUGUCUGUAACUGUCUGUUAUCUGAGCUCUCCUUACAAGCAGUCAAGUAUACACUUCUAGAAAACUGUUCUUGUAACAUAC